This 499-nucleotide ribosomal RNA is filed under the name Bacillaceae bacterium CL5.91. Its description in RNAcentral is "bacterial SSU rRNA". It matches the Rfam family "Bacterial small subunit ribosomal RNA", at positions 17 to 499 of the family's 1533-position model. Lineage: Bacteria; Bacillati; Bacillota; Bacilli; Caryophanales; Bacillaceae. The record is from RNAcentral.
CCCUGGCUCAGGACGAACGCUGGCGGCGUGCCUAAUACAUGCAAGUCGAGCGAAUCUUGAGGUGCUUGCACCUCUUGGUUAGCGGCGGACGGGUGAGUAACACGUGGGCAACCUGCCUGUAAGACUGGGAUAACACCGGGAAACCGGUGCUAAUACCGGAUAAUCCUUUUCCUCUCAUGAGGAAAAGCUGAAAGUCGGUUUACGCUGACACUUACAGAUGGGCCCGCGGCGCAUUAGCUAGUUGGUGAGGUAACGGCUCACCAAGGCGACGAUGCGUAGCCGACCUGAGAGGGUGAUCGGCCACACUGGGACUGAGACACGGCCCAGACUCCUACGGGAGGCAGCAGUAGGGAAUCUUCCGCAAUGGACGAAAGUCUGACGGAGCAACGCCGCGUGAGCGAUGAAGGCCUUCGGGUCGUAAAGCUCUGUUGUUAGGGAAGAACAAGUACCGGAGUAACUGCCGGUACCUUGACGGUACCUAACCAGAAAGCCACGGCUA